This 491-nucleotide ribosomal RNA is filed under the name uncultured bacterium. RNAcentral describes it as "partial 16S ribosomal RNA". It matches the Rfam family "Bacterial small subunit ribosomal RNA", at positions 29 to 507 of the family's 1533-position model. The record is from RNAcentral.
AGUGAACGCUGGCGGUAGGCCUAACACAUGCAAGUCGAACGGCAGCACAGUAAGAGCUUGCUCUUACGGGUGGCGAGUGGCGGACGGGUGAGGAAUACAUCGGAAUCUACUUUUUCGUGGGGAUAACGUAGGGAAACUUACGCUCAUACCGCAUACGACCUACGGGUGAAAGCAGGGGAUCUUCGGACCUUGCGCGAUUGAAUGAGCCGAUGUCGGAUUAGCUAGUUGGCGGGGUAAAGGCCCACCAAGGCGACGAUCCGUAGCUGGUCUGAGAGGAUGAUCAGCCACACUGGAACUGAGACACGGUCCAGACUCCUACGGGAGGCAGCAGUGGGGAAUAUUGGACAAUGGGCGCAAGCCUGAUCCAGCCAUACCGCGUGGGUGAAGAAGGCCUUCGGGUUGUAAAGCCCUUUUGUUGGGAAAGAAAAGCAGCAGGUUAAUACCCCGCUGUUCUGACGGUACCCAAAGAAUAAGCACCGGCUAACUUCGUG